Molecule: ribosomal RNA, 800 nt
Filed under: uncultured Verrucomicrobium sp.
Lineage: Bacteria; Pseudomonadati; Verrucomicrobiota; Verrucomicrobiia; Verrucomicrobiales; Verrucomicrobiaceae
Description: bacterial SSU rRNA
Rfam family: Bacterial small subunit ribosomal RNA
Source: RNAcentral
AACGAACGCUGGCGGCGUGGAUAAGACAUGCAAGUCGAACGAAGAAUCUCAAUAGCUUGCUAAUGAGAUUUUUAGUGGCGGACGGGUUAGUAACACGUGAGAUACCUACCCUUUAGACAGGAAUAGCCCAUGGAAACGUGGAAUAAUACCUGAUAGUCUCUACGGAGUAAAUGAUGCCUUUUGGUGUCGCUAAAGGAUGGGCUCGCGGCCUAUCAGUUUGUUGGUGAGGUAAAGGCUCACCAAGACUACGACGGGUAGCUGGUCUGAGAGGACGAUCAGCAACACUGGAACUGAGACACGGUCCAGACACCUACGGGUGGCAGCAGUCGAGAAUCAUUCACAAUGGAGGAAACUCUGAUGGUGCAACGCCGCGUGGAGGAUGACGGCCCUAGGGUUGUAAACUCCUGUCAUUGGGGAGUAAGACUUAUGCGUUAAGAGCGUGUAAGUUUGAUAGUACCCAAAGAGGAAGGGACGGCUAACUUCGUGCCAGCAGCCGCGGUAAUACGAAGGUCCCAAGCGUUGUUCGGAAUAACUGGGCGUAAAGCGUGUGUAGGCUGCGCGGAAAGUCAAAUGUGAAAGCCAAGGGCUCAACCCUUGAACUGCAUUCGAUACUCCCGUGCUAGAGUAAUGGAGAGGUAAGUGGAAUUCCUGGUGUAGCAGUGAAAUGCGUGGAUAUCAGGAGGAACAUCAAUGGCGAAGGCAACUUACUGGACAUUUACUGACGCUCAGACACGAAGGCUAGGGGAGCGAAAGGGAUUAGAUACCCCUGUAGUCCUAGCAGUAAACGGUGCUCGCUUGGU